AAAUGUGAAACAAUAUUUGUAUUUAGUUUCGACCUAAAAAAUAGAUUUUUAAUAAUCCAUAUUUA
Molecule: transfer RNA, 65 nt
Filed under: Euphyllodromia sp. Z257
Lineage: Eukaryota; Metazoa; Arthropoda; Insecta; Blattodea; Pseudophyllodromiidae
Description: tRNA-Arg
Source: RNAcentral